RNAcentral lists this unclassified non-coding RNA (240 nucleotides) under Paraglomerales sp. RNAcentral describes it as "partial internal transcribed spacer 2". Lineage: Eukaryota; Fungi; Glomeromycota; Glomeromycetes; Paraglomerales. The record is from RNAcentral.
GUGAAUCAUCGAAUUUUUGAACGCAAAUUGCGACUUUUUCUGAAGGCAUGUCUGUUUGAGGUCGCCAUUUAACAAAUAAUGUGCAGCGUUUUUUGUUGCACACGUUGAUGAUCUUUCCAAGAGUUUUAACUUUUUGGUGGCGCAUAAUGAACAGCGGGAAAUGUUUGUUCAGUUCGAGUGUAUUAAGUCUUUGCUUGGGUUGUGAAAAAACAUAAUCGCGCUAUGUGUGUGGCAAUUUCU